Pongo abelii (Sumatran orangutan) is the source of this 107-nucleotide small nuclear RNA. Lineage: Eukaryota; Metazoa; Chordata; Mammalia; Primates; Hominidae. The record is from Ensembl.
GUGCUUGCAUAAGCAACACAUAUACUAAAAUUGGAAUGAUACAGAGAAGAAGAGCAUGACUUCUGCACAAGGAUGUCACACAAAUCUGUGAAAUGUUCCAUAUUUUU